RNAcentral lists this long non-coding RNA (523 nucleotides) under Mytilus galloprovincialis (Mediterranean mussel). Lineage: Eukaryota; Metazoa; Mollusca; Bivalvia; Mytilida; Mytilidae. The record is from RNAcentral.
AAUACAAUUUGAUCAAGUAUGGCCGUAACAUGUUCUUUUCAGGGAAGAAUACAACUUGAUCAAGUAUAGCUGUAAAAUCUUCUAUUUAAGGCAAAAAAUACGAAUUAAUGAAGAAUCGCUAUAUUGUUCUACUUUUCUGUAUGCAAGUAUGGAACAAAUGAAGUAUAGCUAUAUCAUGCACUAUAGAUUAGAAAAAAAGGUAAAAAAUUCAGUAACUUUAGGUGUGAAACUUGUACAGGAAAACAACAGUAUGAAUGAACUAAUAAUAGCUGCAUAAAGAAAGGCAACAGUAGUAUACUGCUGUUCAAAAGUCAUAAUUUGAUAAAGGUAAAUAGAUUCGGGUUACCAACUUAAACUAAGGGAAAAUCGCAACUAUAAAAGGUAGAUCCGGGUUACCAACUUAAACUAAGGGAAAAUCGCAACUAUAAAAGGUAGAUCCGGGUUACCAACUUAAACUAAGGGAAAAUCGCAACUAUAAAAGGAAAACAACGUAUCAGCAGAAACACUGCUUUUAACAUUAACG